CCCUGGAGGGUCCCUACCUCCGUUCCAUCAGAAGAUCCUCGAGACUUGCAAUCGAGAGGACCUCCUGGAUCAAAGAUUCCAAGAGAUGAACCAGCGGAUCAAGGAGCUCAUCAGACGAGGUCAGCUUGACAGAUUCAUUCGACACCGACUUGAAGGUAGGGAAGAUCGAUCGAGGGCCCUGCCACAAUCGGAGCCACCA
Molecule: long non-coding RNA, 199 nt
Filed under: Elaeis guineensis (African oil palm)
Lineage: Eukaryota; Viridiplantae; Streptophyta; Magnoliopsida; Arecales; Arecaceae
Description: long non-coding RNA (EGUI_LNC069696)
Source: RNAcentral